Glycine soja is the source of this 331-nucleotide long non-coding RNA. RefSeq lists it as uncharacterized. The record is from RefSeq and is a predicted model, not a curated record. The transcript is spliced from 2 exons. NCBI's taxonomy places the organism in Eukaryota, Viridiplantae, Streptophyta, Magnoliopsida, Fabales, Fabaceae.
ACUGGAAGAAAGGAAAUCUUACAUUAAAAGCUUUUGAUGCAAAACAUAAGAGGGGAGGUGGUGGUUUCAUCAGUGUGGAAGGUUACCAUGAUGUUCUCAGAGAUCAAACAUUCAAACUUGCAUAACAGAAGUUUGAGCACCUUAGCAGUACAUGCUUCAUUGUAUGGAAUGAGUUCUGGCAAGAGAUUUUGAAAUAAAAACAACUUGGAAAGUUUGAAGGAAGAAUGACGUCUGAUGGGUAAGGAUGCAAAACUUCUAACCAGCUGAACAUUUCAACAUUGUACAUUUUUAUGGUAGCAAAAUAGUAAGCAUCAAGCAAUGUUCUGAUUUA